RNAcentral lists this ribosomal RNA (253 nucleotides) under uncultured bacterium. RNAcentral describes it as "partial 16S ribosomal RNA". It matches the Rfam family "Bacterial small subunit ribosomal RNA", at positions 524 to 776 of the family's 1533-position model. The record is from RNAcentral.
UACGUAGGGUGCAAGCGUUGCCCGGAUUUAUUGGGCGUAAAGGGCGCGUAGGCGGCUCGGCACGUCCGUUGUGAAAUCGCCCGGCUCAACUGGGCGGGGUCAGCGGAUACGGUCGAGCUUGAGCAAGCUAGGGGGCAAUGGAAUUCCCGGUGUAGUGGUGGAAUGCGUAGAUAUCGGGAGGAACACCAGUGGCGAAGGCGGUUGCCUGGAGCUUUGCUGACGCUGAUGCGCGAAAGCGUGGGGAGCGAUCCGG